RNAcentral lists this long non-coding RNA (1195 nucleotides) under Salarias fasciatus (jewelled blenny). Its description in RNAcentral is "lncRNA (ENSSFAG00005003872.1)". The record is from RNAcentral. Lineage: Eukaryota; Metazoa; Chordata; Actinopteri; Blenniiformes; Blenniidae.
UGUUGCCAAAGCUGUCCGUCCCUGGGAGAGGGAUCCCUCCAUACUGUGGUUCUCCCCAAGAUUUCUUCUUUUCCCACUGGGUUUUUGGAGUUUUUUCUUGCCGGAUGUGAGGGUCGAAGGCGGUGGUUGCUUCGUUCUGUCUCGUUACUGUAAAUAUUGACAUAUUACCAUUAUGCUUAUUCACUGUUUUUACUUUUACCGACAAAUGUAACAUCUUGAAGCCCUCUGAGGCAACUGUUGUUGUGAUACUGGGCUAUACAAAAAUAAAUUGAUUGAUUGAUUGAUUGAUUGAGAGAGAGGGAGAGAGAGAGAGAGAGAGGGGGAGAGAGAGAGGGAGAGAGAGAGAGAGCAGAGUGAACGGAGUGGAGCCGUUCGAGCAGCCGUCUCACACACACACACACACACACACACACACACACACUUCACAGCAGGCUGAUUAACAAACAGACCUGAAACAUAACAGUGAGUCCAAACCCGACAUUUAUUUUACCAAGAAGAUUUUAUAUUUUAUAUUUAUCACAUAAAAACAUCGUCAAAGAGGACAAAGUCUCCCCUGUGACCCUCAGCGUCCCCCUAACGGGGGCCCAGACCACAGGUUUGCUGUCCUGAAACACCGGACUCCAGGUCCGGUCCUCUGACAGGGCGCACCGUCCCGGUCCCGGUCCCGUCCCGGUCCUGUCCACAGCCAAGAGACACCACGACAAACCGCGAGCCGCUUCCUCGUUCCUCAACCGAACACUGCAGAAAUCAAGCGCUUCGUCCAUCCGUACGUCCCGGAAGGGCGGGCACUGCAUUCAAACAGAAUCGAACCCGGUGUCCGUCCAGGUGCGUCCGUAUGGCGGAGCUGUCGUCACACUGACGGCGGAGUCAGACGACUGUCACCUGUUUAUUACCCAGAACGGAGAGAGCUCCGCCCACCCCGGCUGCCAGGCUGCUUAAAUGUAACGACCCGGCGAUGUGGGAGGUAAAUCCGUGUUGCUGUGCUGACCGGAACACUUUAAACACUUUUAACGGCUUUAAAAGGAUCAGCGGAGGUCUGACUGGACGGACUGGAGGACGCUGGACAGCGCGUCAUGGUCGCUCUCAGAUAGAGGUGCGUUUGUUGCGUCAUUCCUGCGGCAGGCGGUGGAGGGCGGCCAUGUUGGAUGUCCUCAUUGACGUGUGCUGACCGGACGUCCCGUCGAGCCGCCGCGUC